Molecule: non-coding RNA, 30 nt
Filed under: Mus musculus (house mouse)
Lineage: Eukaryota; Metazoa; Chordata; Mammalia; Rodentia; Muridae
Source: RNAcentral
UACCAUGUGUGUCCUUUUGUGAUUGGGUUA